Austrofundulus limnaeus is the source of this 587-nucleotide long non-coding RNA. RefSeq lists it as uncharacterized. Lineage: Eukaryota; Metazoa; Chordata; Actinopteri; Cyprinodontiformes; Rivulidae. The transcript is spliced from 2 exons. The record is from RefSeq and is a predicted model, not a curated record.
UGGAUCCUGAGGUCCUGGACCCUGAGGUCCUGGAUCCUGAGGUCCUGGAUCCUGAGGUCCUGGACCCUGAGGUCCUGGACCCUGAGGUCCUGGACCCUGAGGUCCUGGACCCUGAGGUGGACGGUCACAGAACAUGACCAGGUAAACAACACAGGAGCAUCUUUAACAUUAAAGCUUUAAUUCAUCUGAACUCAAACACCAACAGUUGGCUCCUUGGAUCAACAUCUUUAAAAGUUAAAAACUAAAUUAAAUAUGAACAAAAGGAUCUUAAAUGUGUUUUGGUUUGUUGUAAAAUKAUCAGCUCCUGCAGCUAAACUGAAGCCAUAAAAAUCUGAGGGAUAAACUUCUGAUAACUCCAUCAUCUAAUGAAACUGUAUAAAAUGUGAAAAUAAUCAGUUUGAACACUUCUGCUGCUKUAAACCAAGGCCUGAUGGUUGUUUCUGUAAAACAUUAGGAGUCAUGUCUGCAGAUUGUAGCACCAAGAACUGUAACAGGAAGUACAGUUAGAAGAGGCAGACGAUUAAAUGUCACUUUGUGAUUAAAUGUUUUUAAGUUUUUACUCCUCAUUUAUCAGUAUUUACAUUUUA